UUUUGAAUAGCUCAGUUGGUAGCACACAAGACUCUUCAUCUUAAGAUUGUGGGUUUGAGCCCCAUGUUGGGCAAAAA
Molecule: non-coding RNA, 77 nt
Organism: Podarcis lilfordi (Lilford's wall lizard)
Lineage: Eukaryota; Metazoa; Chordata; Lepidosauria; Squamata; Lacertidae
Source: the annotation of a GenBank genome assembly